RNAcentral lists this ribosomal RNA (301 nucleotides) under uncultured bacterium. RNAcentral's name for it is "partial 16S ribosomal RNA". It matches the Rfam family "Bacterial small subunit ribosomal RNA", at positions 509 to 807 of the family's 1533-position model. The record is from RNAcentral.
CAGUCGCCGCGGUAAUACGUAGGGUGCGAGCGUUAAUCGGAAUUACUGGGCGUAAAGCGUGCGCAGGCGGUUAUAUAAGACAGAUGUGGAAUCCCCGGGCUCAACCUGGGACCUGCAUUUGUGACUGUAUAGCUAGAGUACGGUAGAGGGGGAUGGAAUUCCGCGUGUAGCAGUGAAAUGCGUAGAUAUGCGGAGGAACACCGAUGGCGAAGGCAAUCCCCUGGACCUGUACUGACGCUCAUGCACGAAAGCGUGGGGAGCAAACAGGAUUAGAUACCCCAGUAGUCCCUGUCUCUUAUAC